AAGGAUCAUUAUCGUAAAAUGGGGGUACCAGGGCUGUCGCUGACUUUUGUCGUGCACGCCCGAGUGCUCUCACAUACAAAUAUCCAUCUCACCCCUUUGUGCAUCACCGCGUGCGUCCCCCCUUCCUCGGAGGGGGGUGCUCACGUUUUUAACAUCAAACACCUAGUAUAGAAUGUUCUUUGCGCGAUCAUGCGCGAUCAAUACAACUUUCAACAACGGAUCUCUUGGCUCUCGCAUCGAUGAAGAACGCAGCGAAAUGCGAUACGUAAUGUGAAUUGCAGAAUUCAGUGAAUCAUCGAAUCUUUGAACGCACCUUGCGCCCCUUGGCAUUCCGAGGGGCACACCCGUUUGAGUGUCGUGAACAUCCUCAACCUGCUUGGUUUUUAUCAAAACCAACUAGGCUUGGAAUUUGGAGGUUUUCUGCUGGCAUCCUCCGAAGCCAGCUCCUCUUAAAUGUAUCAGUGGGAUCCGCUUUGCUAGAUCCUUGACGUUGAUAAGAUGUUUCUACGUCUUGGGUUUCGCUCGGGAAGGACCUGCUUCUAACCGUCCCAUCAGGGACAAUGUUCGAGCCGAUCGCCCUUCACGGGGUGGGAAGCUUUCGACCCAUCGAACCUUGA
This 617-nucleotide ribosomal RNA is filed under the name Russula aff. chloroides r-01002. RNAcentral describes it as "eukaryotic LSU rRNA". The stretch from base 205 to 358 matches the Rfam family "5.8S ribosomal RNA". The record is from RNAcentral. Lineage: Eukaryota; Fungi; Basidiomycota; Agaricomycetes; Russulales; Russulaceae.